This 500-nucleotide ribosomal RNA is filed under the name uncultured bacterium. RNAcentral describes it as "partial 16S ribosomal RNA". It matches the Rfam family "Bacterial small subunit ribosomal RNA", at positions 30 to 523 of the family's 1533-position model. The record is from RNAcentral.
AUUGAACGCUGGCGGCAGGCCUAACACAUGCAAGUCGAGCGGAUGACGGGAGCUUGCUCCUUGAUUCAGCGGCGGACGGGUGAGUAAUGCCUAGGAAUCUGCCUGGUAGGGGGGGACAACGUUUCGAAAGGAACGCUAAUACCGCAUACGUCCUACGGGAGAAAGCAGGGGACCUUCGGGCCUUGCGCUAUCAGAUGAGCCUAGGUCGGAUUAGCUAGUAGGUGAGGUAAGGGCUCACCUAGGCGACGAUCCGUAACUGGUCUGAGAGGAUGAUCAGUCACACUGGAACUGAGACACGGUCCAGACUCCUACGGGAGGCAGCAGUGGGGAAUAUUGGACAAUGGGCGAAAGCCUGAUCCAGCCAUGCCGCGUGUGUGAAGAAGGUCUUCGGAUUGUAAAGCACUUUAAGUUGGGAGGAAGGGCAGUAAGUUAAUACCUUGCUGUUUUGACGUUACCGACAGAAUAAGCACCGGCUAACUCUGUGCCAGCAGCCGCCGUAA